This 72-nucleotide transfer RNA is filed under the name Camelus ferus (Wild Bactrian camel). It matches the Rfam family "tRNA". From Rfam's summary of the family: Transfer RNA (tRNA) molecules are approximately 80 nucleotides in length. Their secondary structure includes four short double-helical elements and three loops (D, anti-codon, and T loops). Lineage: Eukaryota; Metazoa; Chordata; Mammalia; Artiodactyla; Camelidae. The record is from Rfam by way of RNAcentral.
GGGUGUAUAGCUCAAUGAUAGAGCACAUGCUUAGCGUGCACGAGGUCCUGGGUUCAAUCCCCAGUACUGCCC